UGCGUGAGGGUAGAUUCGAACUACCGACCUUUAGCUUAUGAGGCUAACGAGCUGACCACUGCUCUACUCCGC
This 72-nucleotide transfer RNA is filed under the name Vibrio phage 1.081.O._10N.286.52.C2. Its description in RNAcentral is "tRNA-Met". Lineage: Duplodnaviria; Heunggongvirae; Uroviricota; Caudoviricetes; Pantevenvirales; Straboviridae. The record is from RNAcentral.